Molecule: ribosomal RNA, 509 nt
Filed under: uncultured bacterium
Lineage: Bacteria
Description: bacterial SSU rRNA
Rfam family: Bacterial small subunit ribosomal RNA
Source: RNAcentral
AGAGUUGAUAUGGCUCAGGAUGAACGCUGGCGGCGUGCCUAACACAUGCAAGUCGAACGAAGCAUAGUGGAAUGAGAUCGUCGAAGGAAGCUAUGACUUAGUGGCGGACGGGUGAGUAAUGUAUGAGCAACCUGCCUUUCAGAGGGGGACAACAGUUGGAAACGACUGCUAAUACCGCAUAACGUAUAUUGGGGGCAUCCCCGGUAUACCAAAGGAGCAAUCCGCUGAAAGAUGGGCUCAUAUCUGAUUAGUUAGUUGGCAGGGUAACGGCCUACCAAGACUGCGAUCAGUAGCCGGACUGAGAGGUUGAACGGCCACAUUGGGACUGAGAUACGGCCCAGACUCCUACGGGAGGCAGCAGUGGGGAAUAUUGGGCAAUGGGCGCAAGCCCUGACCCAGCAACGCCGCGUGAAGGAUGAAGGUCUUCGGAUUGUAAACUUCUUUGAUUGGGGAAGAAUAAAUGACCUACCCAAAGAACAAGCCACGGCUAACUACGUGCCAGCCGCCGC